UAUCUGGACGUGUUGGGCCGCCCCAUGGUUCUGGCAGGAAGAAGUGCCAAGCAGGUGCAAUGGACCAACGUCUAUCAGGACGCGCUGGGUCUGGGGCUGGUGGUGACGGGGACGAUGCCGGUGUUCAACCUCACUGUGGACGGAAACUCUCAGAAUCAGCUGAUUUUAGGGGUGAUGGGAGUCGAUGUUCAUCUGGAUGAGCUGAAGAGACUCGCGC
Molecule: long non-coding RNA, 217 nt
Organism: Sinocyclocheilus rhinocerous
Lineage: Eukaryota; Metazoa; Chordata; Actinopteri; Cypriniformes; Cyprinidae
Exons: 3
Source: RefSeq, a predicted model, not a curated record